This is a non-coding RNA of Ditylenchus destructor, 72 nucleotides long. The record is from the annotation of a GenBank genome assembly. Lineage: Eukaryota; Metazoa; Nematoda; Chromadorea; Rhabditida; Anguinidae.
GCGUCAGUGGUGUAAUGAUUAGCAUUGUUGCCUUCCAAGCAAUAGACGGGGGUUUGAUUCCCCCCUGACGCA